CAACCUGCCCACCACUUGGGGAUAACCUUGCGAAAGUAAGACUAAUACCCAAUGACGUCUCUAGAAGACAUCUGAAAGAGAUUAAAGAUUUAUCGGUGAUGGAUGGGGAUGCGUCUGAUUAGCUUGUUGGCGGGGUAACGGCCCACCAAGGCAACGAUCAGUAGGGGUUCUGAGAGGAAGGUCCCCCACAUUGGAACUGAGGCACGGUCCAAACUCCUACGGGAGGCAGCAGUGAGGAAUAUUGGUCAAUGGACGAGAGUCUGAACCAGCCAAGUAGCGUGCAGGAUGACGGCCCUAUGGGUUGUAAACUGCUUUUAUAAGGGAAUAAAGUGAGUCUCGUGAGACUUUUUGCAUGUACCUUAUGAAUAAGGACCGGCUAAUUCCGUGCCAGCAGCCGCGGUAAUACGGAAGGUCCGGGCGUUAUCCGGAUUUAUUGGGUUUAAAGGGAGCGUAGGCCGGAGAUUAAGCGUGUUGUGAAAUGUAGACGCUCAACGUCUGCACUGCAGCGCGAACUGGUUUCCUUGAGUACGCACAAAGUGGGCGGAAUUCGUGGUGUAGCGGUGAAAUGCUUAGAUAUCACGAAGAACUCCGAUUGCGAAGGCAGCUCGCUGGAGCGCAACUGACGCUGAAGCUCGAAAGUGCGGGUAUCGAACAGGAUUAGAUACCCUGGUAGUCCGCACGGUAAACGAUGGAUGCCCGCUGUUGGUCUGAAUAGGUCAGCGGCCAAGCGAAAGCAUUAAGCAUCCCACCUGGGGAGUACGCCGGCAACGGUGCAACUCUAAUGAAU
Molecule: ribosomal RNA, 787 nt
Filed under: uncultured bacterium
Lineage: Bacteria
Description: bacterial SSU rRNA
Rfam family: Bacterial small subunit ribosomal RNA
Source: RNAcentral